Molecule: ribosomal RNA, 497 nt
Filed under: uncultured bacterium
Lineage: Bacteria
Description: partial 16S ribosomal RNA
Rfam family: Bacterial small subunit ribosomal RNA
Source: RNAcentral
GAUGAACGCUGGCGGCGUGCCUAAUACAUGCAAGUCGAGCGAACAGACGAGGAGCUUGCUCCUCUGACGUUAGCGGCGGACGGGUGAGUAACACGUGGAUAACCUACCUAUAAGACUGGGAUAACUUCGGGAAACCGGAGCUAAUACCGGAUAAUAUAUUGAACCGCAUGAUUCAAUAGUGAAAGACGGUUUUGCUGUCACUUAUAGAUGGAUCCGCGCCGCAUUAGCUAGUUGGUAAGGUAACGGCUUACCAAGGCAACGAUGCGUAGCCGACCUGAGAGGGUGAUCGGCCACACGGGAACUGAGACACGGUCAAGACGCCUACGGGAGGCAGCAGUAGGGAAUCUUCCGCAAUGGGCGAAAGCAUGACGGAGCAACGCCGCGUGAGUGAUGAAGGUCUUCGGAUCGUAAAACUCUGUUAUUAGGGAAGAACAAAUGUGUAAGUAACUAUGCGCGUCUUGACGGUAACUAAUCAGAAAGCCACGGCUAACUACGUG